Molecule: long non-coding RNA, 1668 nt
Organism: Vombatus ursinus (common wombat)
Lineage: Eukaryota; Metazoa; Chordata; Mammalia; Diprotodontia; Vombatidae
Exons: 4
Source: RefSeq, a predicted model, not a curated record
UCGCGAGAGCGGCUGUGGAGCCCCCGGCGGGAGGAUGCGGCCAGCUGCUGGGGGCUGCGAGGGCGGUGUGAGGACUAGAGGGCUUGAGGGGCCACGAGGAGAGAGAGAGGGCAAGGCCGAGUCCAACACUGAGGUCCCUUGUGGAGCGACUUGGGGCUGCUGAGGGUGGACCCGGAAAGACUGAGAAUCAAGUUCCCCAGGCUGGGGGGAGCUGAGGGAGAGAAGCAAGGACCGGGAAGGCGGAGGCUCCUCGGUGUCGGAGGCUUCCCGCUGGAAGAGGCCUCCAAGGCCGUGGAGUUCAGUCCUUUCAUUUACCCGGAAGUCACCCGAGUAACUCAGCUAGCCUGAGUUCUGAAGGGAAUUCCCUCCUGGAGUCGGAAGACCCAUCUCGGCCCUGUGGUCGUUUCAUCCCCCAGUAUUUAUCCUGGCCAGCAUAUGAGACAUUUUCUUCAUAGAGCAAAGCUGGAACCAAGCCAGUCGCCUGUGGAGGGGCAGCUCUAGCCCCUAGGGCUCCUGAACCCUAAGUCCUGGGUCCUUUGCACCAUAUGGCGCUGCUUCCUCAUUACCAGGACUUGGACAAGAGAUGCCUCAGUUAUGUGGAAGGAAUUAUGCCUCAAGAGGGAAUCCACCUAGGGUCAAGUCUACCUGGCUAGAAUCUGUGGGCUGUGAAGUGGCUCCCAAAUGAUCAUCCAAAAAACAUUUGAGUGCCCUUGAUGCCAGGGGCUGUGCUAGGCUCACAGGGUACAAAUCCAAAAAGAAGUAAUUCCUACUCCUAGGAGCUUAUACUCUAUGGGAGAAAACUAUCACCUACCCCUGUGUUCUGCAUUCAGCUAGCAUUCAAUAAACAUCUGAUGAAUAAGGAACAUUCUGCUCAUCCAAAAUGUGUUGCAACAAGUGUCAACACAGCUGGCAGAGCAACAGCUUCAAGGAGCUCAUUGUUAUCGCACCUCUGUCGCUGUUCAGGAUUUACUAUGGUCAGACCUAAGUAAACCGUCAUCUAGUAACAAUAAUGACUGGUCCACGACAUAAAGGAUAUCAUCGAAAACAGUGUUGUACUGGUACCACGCAAAAUAUUGAAAGAACCAGAAUAAGGUCUCCAGUAUGUUGGGUGUAUUCUUUAUACUAUGGAGGAUUUUGUGAAAGAGAAUUGUAUCCAAUGAGUUGCCUGCUAUCUGCACUUGAGGAGGGAGUGCUUGCGGCGGUGAAACCACGGAUCCACUAAAGUAUGGUCAAAUGAUACUGGCAUUAAAGAUCUAUGAGUUUUGUCAGUGUGGGAACUCCCCUCACCAGCAAAGAUUGCAGCCCAUUUCUGAGGCUCAGAAGGGUUAAGUGACUUGCCCACGGGAAUGUUAUAUCCCUGUCUGGAAGUGACAGCUACUUCCUGCCAGUCCAAGGAAGCAACUCCCGUGGAGAAGGAGCCGAUAAUCCUUGCCAACUGCCAUAUACAAGGCAGGGAAGUCAGUGGAGCUGAUGCAGCAGAACACCCUGAAGGAGAGACAGGAAGCAACAUGUGCCGUGCAAGUUGGACCCCUACCAUCACUUUGGCUACCAUCUCUUCUGAGACCCCUGAAGGCAGCUCCAGGCCCAGAACCCAAAAGCCUUGGGAAUAGCAGCUCUUUAAAAAAAGAAGAAGAAGGAAAAGGGGCAGCUAGGUGGCACAGUGGUUAG